Molecule: ribosomal RNA, 466 nt
Filed under: uncultured bacterium
Lineage: Bacteria
Description: partial 16S ribosomal RNA
Rfam family: Bacterial small subunit ribosomal RNA
Source: RNAcentral
ACGAACGCUGGCGGCGUGCUUAACACAUGCAAGUCGAACGGAAAGGCCCUGCUUUUGUGGGGUGCUCGAGUGGCGAACGGGUGAGUAACACGUGAGUAACCUGCCCUUGACUUUGGGAUAACUUCAGGAAACUGGGGCUAAUACCGGAUAGGAGCUCCUGCUGCAUGGUGGGGGUUGGAAAGUUUCGGCGGUUGGGGAUGGACUCGCGGCUUAUCAGCUUGUUGGUGGGGUAGUGGCUUACCAAGGCUUUGACGGGUAGCCGGCCUGAGAGGGUGACCGGCAAAAUGGGGAAUGGGGAACGGCCCAGACCCCAUCGGGAGGCAGAGGGGGGAAAUAUUGCAAAAGGGGGGGAAGCCUAGUGAAGCAACGCCGGGUGGGGGAUGACGGCCUUGGGGUUGAAACCCGCUUUCGCCUGUGACGAGGGGGGGGGGACGGUAAUGGGGAAAGAAGCCCCGGCUAACUACGU